RUAGGGKGCRAGCGUUAWUCGGAAUUACUGGGCGUAAAGSGYGCGYAGGCGGCGUUGUAAGUCAGGCGUGAAAUCCCCGGGCUUAACCUGGGAAKGCGCUUGAAACUGCGAKGCUKGAGUAUGGSAGAGGGAGGUGGAAUUCCACGUGUAGCGGUGAAAUGCGUAGAUAUGUGGAGGAACACCGRUGGCGAAGGCRGCCUCCUGGGCCAAUACUGACGCUCAUGCACGAAAGCGUGGGGAGCAAACAGGAUUAGAUACCCUGGUAGUCCACGCCCUAAACGAUGA
Molecule: ribosomal RNA, 285 nt
Filed under: uncultured bacterium
Lineage: Bacteria
Description: partial 16S ribosomal RNA
Rfam family: Bacterial small subunit ribosomal RNA
Source: RNAcentral